ACUGCGCGCCAGGCCAGGUUCCUGAGAGCAGACAGCGCGGGCUGGGAGCGCCGGCAAGGGCGGCCCUCGCGCACCUGGCUGCCAGCCCGCAGGGGGCUCGCACGCAGACCUGCCCUUGCCACCUCAGCGCUCGGGUGCGGGCUGGGGGCGGUGGAGCCACGAAAGGUGGUGCCGAGAGCGGAGCGCAGGACAGCGCAGGAGCCCCGGCGCAUCGCGGCGCGCACAGACCCAGUGAGAAACUGAAGACCAGAGAGGGUGAGUGGUUUACUCAGUUUGGCACAACUGACCCCAACCUAGCCCUCCAUGAGGACUGAGCGCAUGAGAGAUCCUGAGCCACAGCCGCCCAGCCCUGCUCCUCUCGAAUUUCUGACCUACAGGAACUGCAAGAAGUAAUGAAAGACUGCUGUUUAAAGCCACUGCAUUUUGGCAUGAUUUGUUAUGCAGUCGUAGAUAACCAGAAAACAUCGGAUUUACAUUUUAAGGUAAACUUUUUAUUGAAACAUCACAUACACACAGAGACGUCCACCAAUUGGCUCGAUGAGCUUUCUCAAAGGAAACACAUUCUCUGAGCAGUGUGCACAUCCAGACACAUCAUCUCCAUCCUCCAGAAGCCCCCUCCUGUUAUCGCCACUCACAGGUCACCCGUCUCCUGACUUGCAGCCACAGAGAUAGUCCUGCCUAAUUCUGAACGUGGUACAAACGGAAUCAUACAGAAUGGGCUUGGCUUCUUUCACUCUGGGCUGUGUUUAUGAGCAUCACCCAGAUUGCUGCAUGGAAGCCAUCGUUUGUUCAUUUUCACCACCAUAGAGUAUUCUACUGUUGAUGGGACAUAGGCUAUUUAUUCCUUCUACUGUUGAGGGACGCAUAGUUAUUUCCAGCUGGAGACUGGUAUAUGUCUCUUGGCUACCUUCUGCAUGCAUUUCUGUUGGAGGUUGUUUCAGGUAUCUCUUAACGUAUAACAGACCACCCUCAAAUUGAGUCCUUGAAACAAUUACCAUUUUCUUCUUUCUCAGGAUUUGGUGCAUGGGAUGGGCUCAGUUGGGCAGUUCUUCUGUUCCAUGUGAUGGUACUGGGGCUGCAGUCAUUCAGAGGCUCAACUGGGCUGAACGUGCAAGGUUUCUUGCUCACGUGGCCAUCAGUGGUGCUGGCUGCUGUUGGGAGCUCCACUGGACUUCUGUCCAGAGCUCCUCAGCUCACCUCUCUGUAUCCUUGCCCUGUGGCUCAGGCUUCUAACAAUACAGAGGCUGGAUUCCAAGAGGAGGGAAUUAGAAGCGUUCAGCCUUCUUAAGACCAGGAUUCAGAUGUCCCAGACUGUCACUGUAUUGACCGGAGCAUUUACAGGCCAGCCUAGUAAUUUUUCCAUCUUGGGCAGGAAUGGGUGGCAUAUGCUGGGGGUAGGGGUAGCAUUGUUGGGGAUCAUCUUUGGAGCUGUGUGCCAAGGAGUAAAUUGCUGGGCUGCUUUCUACCUGAGGAAGUCCACUAUGCUUGCUUGUGGAGAGUGGAUUGUGUGCUCAGAGUCCACAAGGAUUUAAGAAUCCGAGCCCUGCUGCCCUUGCCUCAGCCUGUGCAUUAGGGCCCGGUGGUGAGAGCACUGAGCCAUUGUGAAUCAAGGCCCCUCCCUCGACCUGCAUACUAACAGGCCAGAAGAGCUUGCUUGAUUUUGGUCCUAGGCUCCUGCCUGUGGGUUGGAUUCCAGGGGCACUCUCUCCUCCACAAACCAGACGGUGGCAGGUACAUCCCCUCAAUGGAAAUUGCCCACACUUCACCCUAAAGACAGAUCCUGCUGUUCAGCAACAAUGUGAGUGGCCCACACAUUUGUCCAGCAUGAAACCGUUUGCAGAUUCCUUUCCAGUACACAGUCCCGUCAGCCGGUCACUUCACGAUGACAGCUCCUCGAAGCACCUUUUGGUUUGCAGUUGUGUAGCUUAGAAGUAGGAGCCUGCACGGCUUCAGGAAUUCACAGAAGGAGCACACUUUGUGCUUGGAGAAGUUAAUUAUAGGAAUAUCCUGCAACCUGCUGCUCUGAGCCUGUGCACCUGGGGUGUUUCCCUGGAGGUCCUGUGUAUGAGGAUACUCAUCAGCAUGGGGUUUGGGAAGCCUAGCAGUGGAGACAACCUAGGUGGUCCUCUCCAGGGGAGUAGGUAAGAGCCCUACAGCAGUGAAAAGCAUUGAAGGAAAAGUGUGUUCAGCAGUGCUCUUAAUCUGAUCAGAGCAGCCUGAACACAUUCUAAACACAGGGCAUUUAGAACUAGGGUAGAGGCACUAGAGCACCAUAGAUACAAACUCAGAUUCUGAAGGUAAAUGCCCAGGUUCAAAUCCAAGCCCCCUCGCCAAGUGACCAUGACUCCCCCGAGUCACCUGACCUCUGUGUUUACAUCCUCAAAGUUAAGUAGUCAGGAAAGGGGGCUUGGGGCUUGCCACAUGGAUGGUUGCCACUCUCCUUUGCAAAGUGUAGUCCCCAAAAACAGGUGGAAGAGGGAAGGGUCCAAUUAGAAGGCCGAGUACCAGCUGCCAUGAAUAUGCCAGAGCUGCUGGCUAGUGAUAAAUAACUGAAACCCAGGGGGACAGCAGAGCUUGGGUGACCAUACAUUCUAGGAAAGAAAACAUGCCUGUUGUCCUGGCUUUUUAUCCAGCUUAGACAAAGAUGGGCAAAGAAAAUAAUUUAGAAAAUGGUAGAGAUGGGCACAGAGAAAGGGCACGGAGGGAGGCACAAACAGAAGGCCAAGUGAUGGUGGAGGCAGACAUUGGAGAAAUGCCUUUACAAGCCGGGGAAUGCCAAGGAUGCUGGCAACCCUGGGAGUGGGAAGAACCUGGAACACACCCUCCGUCAGAGUCUCCAGAAGGAACUGGCCCUUCAUCACCUUUCGGACUUCUGGCCUCCAGAACUGGGCAAGAAAAUGUUUCUGCUGUUGGAGGCCAUCCAGCUGGUGGUCAUUUGUUAUGGUUGCCACAGAAAACGAAUAUAGAUUUAGACAUCUAAUUUGCAUAUAUAGAUAUGCAUGUGUAUUUGUUAAAUAAAAGAUAAAGCAUGACA
RNAcentral lists this long non-coding RNA (3034 nucleotides) under Homo sapiens (human). RNAcentral describes it as "HSALNT0387599". Lineage: Eukaryota; Metazoa; Chordata; Mammalia; Primates; Hominidae. The record is from RNAcentral.